Molecule: long non-coding RNA, 3237 nt
Organism: Pan troglodytes (chimpanzee)
Lineage: Eukaryota; Metazoa; Chordata; Mammalia; Primates; Hominidae
Source: Ensembl
AUGCCCUUCCUGACAUUUCCUCCCAAGGAAACCCAAGUCCUCCGUCAGGGUCCACCCAAAUGUCCACACUCUCUGGUAGCCUGCCCAGCCCCAGAGGCUCCCUUGAGCUCCCUUCCCCCAUUAGAGCCUACAGAGGCAGUGCUGCCCAGCAGACAUCUCGGCUGGGAGUCAAACAGAGCAAGGCUAUUUUGGUCCCUCUCUCCACUCUAUGUGACCCUGAAAUGUGCCCUGGCCUUAGGAAACAUUCAGCUACAUCAGAGAACGCAAGUCAAGGAAGUUGCUGCCCAGAAACCAAGUGAGGACAUUUACAAGAACCGGCAGCAGCAGCAGCAGCAGCCAGCAGCAGAAACUGGAUUUGCUUUUUCACCAGAGGAUCCAGAUUUCCCUGUGGCCUCGCAAACAAAAAAGAAGGAAGACGGAGCAGCACAGUCAUCCCUUUGUGAAAAAGGCAUUCAGAGACGGGGUUUCACCGUGUUAGCCAGGAUGGUCUCGAUCUGCUGACCUCGCGAUCCGCCCGCCUCGACCUCCCAAAGUGCUGGGAUUACAGGCGUGAGCCACCGCGCCCGGCCUCAGCUGGUUUUUCAAAAGUCAUGGCGUGUAAUUGUCAGAACAGUGAACUUCGGAGAUUCACCGGAGGGGCGAGGCCACAGCUUGACCGCGAGCACCUGAGCAUCCUGCACCGCCUGCGACGGCCGUCAGGGGGCGCGAUGCCGCCUCACAGAACCUCAAGAGGCGCCCGGGUUCCGGCACAGACGCCCUGCGGCUCCAGGGGGCGGAGCCGAGCCGCCUCCUCAGGACCUACGCAGGAGACGCCUCCAUCCCUACAGGGACACCUGAGAGGACCCAGCCUCCUCCUCCUCAGGACCCACUCGGGAGACGCCGCUGGCUCUAUAGGAACACCUGGGGACCGUGGCCAGGGACGACCCAGCCUCCUUCUCCUCAGCUCCUCAGGAACGACUGGGGAAGCUGUGGCUUCAUGGUCCCCGAGGCUGCCCGAGGAAAGGUGAGGAAAAAGCUUUCUGUCCCGGCUCAGUGUUGAGGAGGCCGCGCUGCCUCGCGCUCCACUUUCUCAAGUUGUAUUUAUUUUAUUUUACAAAGUGGCCCAUCAUUAAGUGGCUUUGUUAUUCAUUAUUACAGCAUACCUGAGUUGUUUCAUUUUUUAAUUUUUGACCAAUUUGGGUUUGUUUGGGGUGGAUCCGGGACAGAGAAGGGAGAAACCCUGAGGGCAACAUGGAGAGCCCCAGGGAGACGCGCACCCCACGACUUGCUUUUAUUUGCGCUCCAGUGGCUCGUUUUUCUUAGAGUGUUAAAGUACUUGAAAAAUAUUGAAGAGCAGAUGUAGAUGUGAGUUUUCACAACCGUAUUUUAAGUGUAAAUACUGGACUUUGUCUGUUAAAAGGAUUUUAGGUAAAAUAAAUUUAAGCGGAGUUUAUUUCAGCAAAGGAAUGGUUCAUGAAUCACGCAGGAAGCACCAGAACGGAAAUCGGCUUGGGGCUUUGAGCUCUUAGGGUGGCCCCUAAGUGAGGCUCCUCAGUGGCUCCAGCUAGGCGACCGCCUGUUGUGGGAAUGGUUCCCUCAGCGUCCCUAGUCAUACAGCCAACUGGCUGCUGAGCUUUUUGGCAUUGACUGUGGUUGGUUUGUUAAUUUUUUUAAGUCAGUUCAAAUGCCUCCAAGUUCGGUUUCUGUUUGCUUAGGGAAGGCCUCAGGCUAACCCCCGCCUUAUUUGCUUUAACAUGUCAAAACCAUAAUUUAUUUUUCAUUUUACUUUCCUGGCAUUAAUAGAAGUAAAUUCACAUUUGUGUGUUAUUCAGAAAGUCGGUUUAAUUGGCAACCUAUUUGUGAUGGUGCAUAAAAUAAUGUUUUUUAAUCAUUGGCAUCUUAGAUUAGAUGAACUAUGUUAACUCUCUUAAGCUUUGUUAUUAACCCAUAACAAGAGUUAAGUUUCUUUUUUUCUCCUAGGCUUUGACCAUUUAAAGUACACUCAGGCAUCUCGUAACGAUGUUAUACUUUCUGAGAAAUCUAUCCUUAGGUGAUUUCAUCUUUGUGUGAACACUGUAGAGUGUCCUUAUAAAACUUAAAUGGUGUAGCCCACUCCACACCUAAGUUACAUAGUAUAGCCUAUUGCUCCCAGGCUACGAACCUGUACAGCAUGUCUCUGUACUGAAUGCUGCAGUCAACUAUAACACCAUGGUGAUUGUAGAUUGUGAUCCCAGAAUAUCUGAGACAGGUCUUAGUCAAUUUAGAAAGCUUAUUUUGCCAAGAUUAAGGACACACCCUUGACACAGCCUCAGGAGGUCCUGACGACAUGUGUCCAAGGUGGCCAGGGUAGAGCUUGCUUUUGUACAUUUUAGGGAUAGAUGAGACGUGUAAGAUAUACAGUCAUUUGGCCCAGUAAGGCGGGACAACUGGAAGCAGGAAGUGGGGGUGCUUCCAGGUCAGAAGUAGGUUGGAGACAAAAGGUUGCAUUCUUUUGAAUCCUUGAUCAGCCUUCCACUGAAUACACAAUUUAGUCUGGCUCAAUGAAUCUGCAUUUUUACAUAAAUAAUAGGGCAGAGGAAGCAAUCAGAUAUGCAUCUGUCUCAGGUGAGGGAUGACUUUGAGUGCUGUCUGUCCUUUGUCCAAAAGGAAAUUCUUUGUGGGCAAAUUGUGAGUGAGGUAUGUAGCUUUUUAUCUUUGUAGCUAUCUUAGUUAGGAAUAGAAUGAGGGCAGGUUUGCCUGACAUAGCUCCCAGCUUGACUUUUCCCUUGGCUUAGUGAUUUGGGGGUCCUGAGAUUUAUUUUCCUUUCAUGGUAUCAAAACAGAGAAAAGGUAAUGCGUUGAGCCAUGAGCUUAUGACAAGAUGGCUAGGAAGGAAUUUUUCAGCUCCAUUUUUAUCUCAUGGGACCACCAUCAUAUGUAUGCAAUGCACUAGUGUAAAAUCACAUUUAGUUAAGUCAGCUUACACUAAGCUAUGGACCCAGAUGGUCCUGGGGCCUUUUUCCACUGGGAGAUCUUUAAGGACCUUUCUUAGCUUUUCUAUGCUAAUUGGUAUAUUCAUAGUUGCCUUAUUUCAGUGCCCAUUUUGUUAAUGUGUAUUUUUACUAGGAAAUCACCCAUUUUUUCUAGGUUUCCAGUUUGAUGCAAUUAUUUGACUUUUAAUUUCUCCUCUGUUUUUAGUUUUGUACAUAAUUUUCCUAUCUACUUUUGCACUCUUUUUUCCAUCAACAAUAUUUUUAAAAUAUAAUUUUUAGCUUUUUU